UACAGAGGCCCCAAGCGUUACUGAGAAUCACUGGGUUUAAAGGGUGCGUAGGUGGCGCGUUAAGUCCGUUGUGAAAGCCCUGGGCUCAACCCAGGAACUGCUUCGGAUACUGGCGCGCUUGAGGCUAGUAGGGGUCACUGGAACUGACGGUGGAGCGGUGAAAUGCGUAGAUAUCGUCAGGAACGCCAAUGGUGAAGACAGGUGACUGGGCUAGUUCUGACACUGAGGCACGAAAGCGUGGGGAGCGAACGGG
This 253-nucleotide ribosomal RNA is filed under the name uncultured bacterium. Its description in RNAcentral is "partial 16S ribosomal RNA". It matches the Rfam family "Bacterial small subunit ribosomal RNA", at positions 524 to 776 of the family's 1533-position model. The record is from RNAcentral.